RNAcentral lists this ribosomal RNA (3011 nucleotides) under Salmonella enterica subsp. enterica serovar Rough O:-:-. RNAcentral's name for it is "23S ribosomal RNA". It matches the Rfam family "Bacterial large subunit ribosomal RNA". Lineage: Bacteria; Pseudomonadati; Pseudomonadota; Gammaproteobacteria; Enterobacterales; Enterobacteriaceae. The record is from RNAcentral.
GGGUUGUGAGGUUAAGCGACUAAGCGUACACGGUGGAUGCCCUGGCAGUCAGAGGCGAUGAAGGACGUGCUAAUCUGCGAUAAGCGCCGGUAAGGUGAUAUGAACCGUUAUAACCGGCGAUUUCCGAAUGGGGAAACCCAGUGUGAUUCGUCACACUAUCAUUAACUGAAUCCAUAGGUUAAUGAGGCGAACCGGGGGAACUGAAACAUCUAAGUACCCCAAAGAAAAAGAAGCAACCGAGAUUCCCGCAGUAGCGGCGAGCGAACGGGGAGGAGCCCAGAGCCUGAAUCAGCAUGUGUGUUAGUGGAAGCGUCUGGAAAGGCGCGCGAUACAGGGUGACAGCCCCGUACACAAAAGCGCAUGUGCUGUGAGCUCGAUGAGUAGGGCGGGACACGUGGUAUCCUGUCUGAAUAUGGGGGGACCAUCCUCCAAGGCUAAAUACUCCUGACUGACCGAUAGUGAACCAGUACCGUGAGGGAAAGGCGAAAAGAACCCCGGCGAGGGGAGUGAAAAAGAACCUGAAACCGUGUACGUACAAGCAGUGGGAGCACCCUUCGGGGUGUGACUGCGUACCUUUUGUAUAAUGGGUCAGCGACUUAUAUUCUGUAGCAAGGUUAACCGUAUAGGGGAGCCGGAGGGAAACCGAGUCUUAACCGGGCGUUAAGUUGCAGGGUAUAGACCCGAAACCCGGUGAUCUAGCCAUGGGCAGGUUGAAGGUUGGGUAACACUAACUGGAGGACCGAACCGACUAAUGUUGAAAAAUUAGCGGAUGACCUGUGGCUGGGGGUGAAAGGCCAAUCAAACCGGGAGAUAGCUGGUUCUCCCCGAAAGCUAUUUAGGUAGCGCCUCGUGAAUUCAUCUCCGGGGGUAGAGCACUGUUUCGGCUAGGGGGCCAUCCCGGCUUACCAACCCGAUGCAAACUGCGAAUACCGGAGAAUGUUAUCACGGGAGACACACGGCGGGUGCUAACGUCCGUCGUGAAGAGGGAAACAACCCAGACCGCCAGCUAAGGUCCCAAAGUCAUGGUUAAGUGGGAAACGAUGUGGGAAGGCCCAGACAGCCAGGAUGUUGGCUUAGAAGCAGCCAUCAUUUAAAGAAAGCGUAAUAGCUCACUGGUCGAGUCGGCCUGCGCGGAAGAUGUAACGGGGCUAAACCAUGCACCGAAGCUGCGGCAGCGAACGUAUCACCCAAGACAACUUUACGGAGUUGACGAUUGACGGAGCGAAGCGACGUCAAAGCGUUCAUUAAAGUCGAGUUGGCUUAGGGAUACGUUCGUUGGGUAGGGGAGCGUUCUGUAAGCCUGUGAAGGUGUGUCGUGAGGCAUGCUGGAGGUAUCAGAAGUGCGAAUGCUGACAUAAGUAACGAUAAAGCGGGUGAAAAGCCCGCUCGCCGGAAGACCAAGGGUUCCUGUCCAACGUUAAUCGGGGCAGGGUGAGUCGACCCCUAAGGCGAGGCCGAAAGGCGUAGUCGAUGGGAAACGGGUUAAUAUUCCCGUACUUGGUGUUACUGCGAAGGGGGGACGGAGAAGGCUAUGUUGGCCGGGCGACGGUUGUCCCGGUUUAAGCGUGUAGGUGUGUGUUCCAGGUAAAUCCGGUUCACUUUAACACUGAGGCGUGACGACGAGGCACUACGGUGCUGAAGCAACAAAUGCCCUGCUUCCAGGGAAAAGCCUCUAAGCAUCAGGUAACAUCAAAUCGUACCCCAAACCGACACAGGUGGUCAGGUAGAGAAUACCAAGGCGCUUGAGAGAACUCGGGUGAAGGAACUAGGCAAAAUGGUGCCGUAACUUCGGGAGAAGGCACGCUGACACGUAGGUGAAGUGAUUUACUCAUGGAGCUGAAGUCAGUCGAAGAUACCAGCUGGCUGCAACUGUUUAUUAAAAACACAGCACUGUGCAAACACGAAAGUGGACGUAUACGGUGUGACGCCUGCCCGGUGCCGGAAGGUUAAUUGAUGGGGUCAGCGCAAGCGAAGCUCCUGAUCGAAGCCCCGGUAAACGGCGGCCGUAACUAUAACGGUCCUAAGGUAGCGAAAUUCCUUGUCGGGUAAGUUCCGACCUGCACGAAUGGCGUAAUGAUGGCCAGGCUGUCUCCACCCGAGACUCAGUGAAAUUGAACUCGCUGUGAAGAUGCAGUGUACCCGCGGCAAGACGGAAAGACCCCGUGAACCUUUACUAUAGCUUGACACUGAACAUUGAGCCUUGAUGUGUAGGAUAGGUGGGAGGCUUUGAAGUGUGGACGCCAGUCUGCAUGGAGCCGACCUUGAAAUACCACCCUUUAAUGUUUGAUGUUCUAACGUGGACCCGUAAUCCGGGUUGCGGACAGUGUCUGGUGGGUAGUUUGACUGGGGCGGUCUCCUCCUAAAGAGUAACGGAGGAGCACGAAGGUUGGCUAAUCUGGGCGGACAUCAGGAGGUUAGUGCAAUGGCAUAAGCCAGCUUGACUGCGAGCGUGACGGCGCGAGCAGGUGCGAAAGCAGGUCAUAGUGAUCCGGUGGUUCUGAAUGGAAGGGCCAUCGCUCAACGGAUAAAAGGUACUCCGGGGAUAACAGGCUGAUACCGCCCAAGAGUUCAUAUCGACGGCGGUGUUUGGCACCUCGAUGUCGGCUCAUCACAUCCUGGGGCUGAAGUAGGUCCCAAGGGUAUGGCUGUUCGCCAUUUAAAGUGGUACGCGAGCUGGGUUUAGAACGUCGUGAGACAGUUCGGUCCCUAUCUGCCGUGGGCGCUGGAGAACUGAGGGGGGCUGCUCCUAGUACGAGAGGACCGGAGUGGACGCAUCACUGGUGUUCGGGUUGUCAUGCCAAUGGCACUGCCCGGUAGCUAAAUGCGGAAGAGAUAAGUGCUGAAAGCAUCUAAGCACGAAACUUGCCCCGAGAUGAGUUCUCCCUGAGACUUAGAGUCUCCUGAAGGAACGUUGAAGACGACGACGUUGAUAGGCCGGGUGUGUAAGCGCAGCGAUGCGUUGAGCUAACCGGUACUAAUGAACCGUGAGGCUUAACCUUACAACGCCGAAG